Molecule: transfer RNA, 64 nt
Filed under: Apicotermes occultus
Lineage: Eukaryota; Metazoa; Arthropoda; Insecta; Blattodea; Termitidae
Description: tRNA-Glu
Rfam family: tRNA
About the family: Transfer RNA (tRNA) molecules are approximately 80 nucleotides in length. Their secondary structure includes four short double-helical elements and three loops (D, anti-codon, and T loops).
Source: RNAcentral
AUUUAUAUAGUUUAAACAAAACAUUACACUUUCACUGUAAAGACAAAGAAACCUUUUAUAAAUA